Molecule: small RNA, 30 nt
Filed under: Bombyx mori (domestic silkworm)
Lineage: Eukaryota; Metazoa; Arthropoda; Insecta; Lepidoptera; Bombycidae
Description: ovarian small RNA-32721
Source: RNAcentral
UGAUCGUUUGCAGAGCGGCAAUAGAGUCGC